RNAcentral lists this transfer RNA (60 nucleotides) under Alitta succinea. Its description in RNAcentral is "tRNA-Met". Lineage: Eukaryota; Metazoa; Annelida; Polychaeta; Phyllodocida; Nereididae. The record is from RNAcentral.
AAUAAGCUAAUGCAAAGCUAUUGGGCUCAUACCCCGAAAAUGGAUAGAUUCCUUUUAUCA